RNAcentral lists this ribosomal RNA (463 nucleotides) under Vreelandella stevensii. RNAcentral describes it as "partial 16S ribosomal RNA". It matches the Rfam family "Bacterial small subunit ribosomal RNA", at positions 338 to 796 of the family's 1533-position model. Lineage: Bacteria; Pseudomonadati; Pseudomonadota; Gammaproteobacteria; Oceanospirillales; Halomonadaceae. The record is from RNAcentral.
CCUACGGGGUGCAGCAGUGGGGAAUAUUGGACAAUGGGCGAAAGCCUGAUCCAGCCAUGCCGCGUGUGUGAAGAAGGCCUUCGGGUUGUAAAGCACUUUCAGUGGGGAAGAAAGCCUUGGGGCUAAUACCCUCGAGGAAGGACAUCACCCACAGAAGAAGCACCGGCUAACUCCGUGCCAGCAGCCGCGGUAAUACGGAGGGUGCGAGCGUUAAUCGGAAUUACUGGGCGUAAAGCGCGCGUAGGCGGUCUGAUAAGCCGGUUGUGAAAGCCCCGGGCUCAACCUGGGAACGGCAUCCGGAACUGUCAGGCUAGAGUGCAGGAGAGGAAGGUAGAAUUCCCGGUGUAGCGGUGAAAUGCGUAGAGAUCGGGAGGAAUACCAGUGGCGAAGGCGACCUUCUGGACUGACACUGACGCUGAGGUGCGAAAGCGUGGGUAGCAAACAGGAUUAGAUACCCCAGUUC